Molecule: ribosomal RNA, 497 nt
Filed under: uncultured bacterium
Lineage: Bacteria
Description: partial 16S ribosomal RNA
Rfam family: Bacterial small subunit ribosomal RNA
Source: RNAcentral
GAUGAACGCUGGCGGCGUGCCUAAUACAUGCAAGUCGAGCGAACAGAUGAGGAGCUUGCUCCUCUGACGUUAGCGGCGGACGGGUGAGUAACACGUGGAUAACCUACCUAUAAGACUGGGAUAACUUCGGGAAACCGGAGCUAAUACCGGAUAAUAUAUUAAACCGCAUGGUUCAAUAGUGAAAGACGGUUUUGCUGUCACUUAUAGAUGGAUCCGCGCCGCAUUAGCUAGUUGGUAAGGUAACGGCUUACCAAGGCAACGAUGCGUAGCCGACCUGAGAGGGUGAUCGGCCACACUGGAACUGAGACACGGUCUAGACUCCUACGGGAGGCAGCAGUAGGGAAUCUUCCGCAAUGGGCGAAAGCCUGACGGAGCAACGCCGCGUGAGUGAUGAAGGUCUUCGGAUCGUAAAACUCUGUUAUUAGGGAAGAACAAAUGUGUAAGUAACUAUGCACGUCUUGACGGUACCUAAUCAGAAAGCCACGGCUAACUACGUG